GCAGAUAUAGUUUAAUGGUAGAACAUCAUCCUUCCAAGUUGAUUAUGCGGGUUCGAUUCCCGUUAUCUGCU
Molecule: transfer RNA, 71 nt
Filed under: Apicomplexa sp. corallicolid ex Leiopathes glaberrima
Lineage: Eukaryota; Apicomplexa
Description: tRNA-Gly
Rfam family: tRNA
About the family: Transfer RNA (tRNA) molecules are approximately 80 nucleotides in length. Their secondary structure includes four short double-helical elements and three loops (D, anti-codon, and T loops).
Source: RNAcentral